RNAcentral lists this microRNA precursor (78 nucleotides) under Branchiostoma belcheri (Belcher's lancelet). RNAcentral describes it as "microRNA bbe-mir-10c precursor". Its record names the gene bbe-mir-10c. The record is from miRBase by way of RNAcentral. Lineage: Eukaryota; Metazoa; Chordata; Leptocardii; Amphioxiformes; Branchiostomatidae.
UCCCCAGGAUUACCCUGUAGAUCCGGACUUGUGAUCACGUCACAACACAAAUCCGAUUUACAGGUUAGGCCUGGGCAA